AUACGGAGGGCGCGAGCGUUAAUCGGAAUCACUGGGCGUAAAGCGUGCGUAGGCUGUUUGAUAAGUCAGACGUGAAAUCCCUCGGCUCAACCGGGGAACUGCGUUUGAAACUGUCGAACUCGAGUCCUGGAGAGGGUGGCGGAAUUCCUGGUGUAGGAGUGAAAUCCGUAGAUAUCAGGAGGAACACCGGUGGCGAAGGCGGCCACCUGGACAGGUACUGACGCUGAGGCACGAAAGCGUGGGGAGCAAACAGGAUUAGAUACCCUGGUAGUCCACGCGGUAAACGAUGGAUGCUAGGUGUCGGGGAGCGAUCUUCGGCGCCGCAGCUAACGCAUUAAGCAUCCCGCCUGGGGAGUACGGUCGCAAGGCUGA
This 372-nucleotide ribosomal RNA is filed under the name uncultured bacterium. RNAcentral's name for it is "bacterial SSU rRNA". It matches the Rfam family "Bacterial small subunit ribosomal RNA", at positions 523 to 897 of the family's 1533-position model. The record is from RNAcentral.